This 492-nucleotide ribosomal RNA is filed under the name uncultured bacterium. Its description in RNAcentral is "partial 16S ribosomal RNA". It matches the Rfam family "Bacterial small subunit ribosomal RNA", at positions 29 to 507 of the family's 1533-position model. The record is from RNAcentral.
AGUGAACGCUGGCGGUAGGCCUAACACAUGCAAGUCGAACGGCAGCACAGUAAGAGCUUGCUCUUACGGGUGGCGGGUGGCGGACGAGUGAGGAAUACAUCGGAAUCUACUUUUUCGUGGGGGAUAACGUAGGGAAACUUACGCUAAUACCGCAUAUGACCUACGGGUGAAAGCAGGGGAUCUUCGGACCUUGCGCGGUUGAAUGAGCGGCUGCGGGGUUAGCUAGUUGGCGGGGUAAAGGCCCACCAAGGCGACGAUCCGUAGCUGGUCUGAGAGGAUGGUCAGCCACAUUGGAACGGAGCCACGGUCCAGACUCCUACGGGAGGCAGCAGUGGGGAAUAUUGGACAAUGGGCGCAAGCCUGAUCCAGCCAUACCGCGUGGGUGAAGAAGGCCUUCGGGUUGUAAAGACCUUUUGUUGGGAGAGAAAAGCAGCAGGUUAAUACCCCGCUGUUCUGACGGUACCCAAAGAAUAAGCACCGGCUAACUUCGUG